GAUGAAGAACGUAGCGAAAUGCGAUAAGUAGUGUGAAUUGCAGAAUUCAGUGAAUCAUCGAAUCUUUGAACGCACAUUGCGCCCCUUGGUAUUCCAUGGGGCAUGCCUGUUCGAGCGUCAUUUGUACCUUCAAGCUUUGCUUGGUGUUGGGUGUUUGUCUCGCCUUUGCGUGUAGACUCGCCUUAAAAUAAUUGGCAGCCGGCGUAUUGAUUUCGGAGCGCAGUACAUCUCGCGCUUUGCACUCAUAACGACAGCGUCCAAAAGUACAUUUUACACUCUUGACCUCGGAUCAGGUAGGGAUACCCGCUGAACUUAAGCAUAUCAUUAAGCGGAGGA
RNAcentral lists this unclassified non-coding RNA (336 nucleotides) under soil metagenome. RNAcentral's name for it is "partial contains 5.8S ribosomal RNA, internal transcribed spacer 2, and large subunit ribosomal RNA". The stretch from base 1 to 120 matches the Rfam family "5.8S ribosomal RNA", at positions 35 to 154 of the family's 154-position model. The record is from RNAcentral.